Molecule: long non-coding RNA, 248 nt
Filed under: Vigna radiata
Lineage: Eukaryota; Viridiplantae; Streptophyta; Magnoliopsida; Fabales; Fabaceae
Description: long non-coding RNA (VRAD_LNC015198)
Source: RNAcentral
GGGGGAGUAUCAUUGCAUUACACAUUGUUUCAUCAUACACCUAUAUUUCAGGGGGAGUUUAAACUAUUUUGUGAUGAACUUGUGAUCUGUGAGAGCAUUAUUAUGUUUACAAUUUGCAUAUCUUUAUGAUGCAUCUCUGUUUUCAAAAACUGCAUAAAUAUCUGAAGCAUUCCUUUUUUGUUAAUGCACAAAGGGGGAGAGAUAUUCAUGAGUGUAUGAGAGCAAGUCUAUAUGGGGAGAAUUGUUGC